Molecule: unclassified non-coding RNA, 449 nt
Filed under: Hevea brasiliensis (rubber tree)
Lineage: Eukaryota; Viridiplantae; Streptophyta; Magnoliopsida; Malpighiales; Euphorbiaceae
Source: RNAcentral
GAGAGGCAUUCUUUCUAUGGGGAGGUGAAGUUUUAGUGAAGCUUGUUUUUGUACUUUUCUUUGCAUUGUUAUGUUCUUAGUUUUAUUUUUUGGGUUCUAGAAUUAUUGGUUUAAAAAUAAAAAUACAUAUAAAGGCCCCCAUGGCUUGUUUUGCUGCACUUGUUACUGUCUUCAUUAGAAUAACAGUUUUACUUUUACUUUUACUUUUAUGUAUUCAUGUAUUUUUUGCUUGUAAAUAGAUGGUAUAAUUUUAGAAUGUAAUGCAUUGCAUUGAAAUUUCUCUUGUACUUGAGAGUAGCGUACUUGAGAGUUGGGCAGGUGAAAGUGAAUGUAUGAUAAAAUGCUAGAAAUAAAAAUCUGCCCGUAGAUACCAAAACUGGAUACUGUUCACAGUCCCAUUUUCAACGCUUCCACCUCCCCCCUUCCCAAUUGAUAUGUUUAAUGGAGGG